This 253-nucleotide ribosomal RNA is filed under the name uncultured bacterium. RNAcentral describes it as "partial 16S ribosomal RNA". It matches the Rfam family "Bacterial small subunit ribosomal RNA", at positions 524 to 776 of the family's 1533-position model. The record is from RNAcentral.
GACAGAGGGUGCAAACGUUGCUCGGAAUUACUGGGCGUAAAGCGCGUGUAGGCGGACUGGUGUGUCGGAUGUGAAAUCCCCAGGCUCAACCUGGGAACUGCAUUCGAAACUGCCAGCCUUGAGUGGUGGAGAGGGAAGUGGAAUUCCUGGUGUAGAGGUGAAAUUCGUAGAUAUCAGGAGGAACACCAGUGGCGAAGGCGGCUUCCUGGAGCCCAACUGACGCUGAGACGCGAAAGCGUGGGGAGCAAACCGG